Molecule: non-coding RNA, 78 nt
Organism: Anabaena cylindrica PCC 7122
Lineage: Bacteria; Bacillati; Cyanobacteriota; Cyanophyceae; Nostocales; Nostocaceae
Source: Rfam
UUGAGCGGCUUGAGGGGAAACUAUCACGAGCCGUUCUUUGGGGAGGGGGACACGGCGACGUGUGCCUCCUUACCCGAC